Molecule: ribosomal RNA, 510 nt
Filed under: Limosilactobacillus fermentum
Lineage: Bacteria; Bacillati; Bacillota; Bacilli; Lactobacillales; Lactobacillaceae
Description: bacterial SSU rRNA
Rfam family: Bacterial small subunit ribosomal RNA
Source: RNAcentral
CCCGCACAAGCGGUGGAGCAUGUGGUUUAAUUCGAAGCUACGCGAAGAACCUUACCAGGUCUUGACAUCUUGCGCCAACCCUAGAGAUAGGGCGUUUCCUUCGGGAACGCAAUGACAGGUGGUGCAUGGUCGUCGUCAGCUCGUGUCGUGAGAUGUUGGGUUAAGUCCCGCAACGAGCGCAACCCUUGUUACUAGUUGCCAGCAUUAAGUUGGGCACUCUAGUGAGACUGCCGGUGACAAACCGGAGGAAGGUGGGGACGACGUCAGAUCAUCAUGCCCCUUAUGACCUGGGCUACACACGUGCUACAAUGGACGGUACAACGAGUCGCGAACUCGCGAGGGCAAGCAAAUCUCUUAAAACCGUUCUCAGUUCGGACUGCAGGCUGCAACUCGCCUGCACGAAGUCGGAAUCGCUAGUAAUCGCGGAUCAGCAUGCCGCGGUGAAUACGUUCCCGGGCCUUGUACACACCGCCCGUCACACCAUGAGAGUUUGUAACACCCAAAGUCGGU